ACCAGAUACAAAUAUAUACCCCAAAGCUAUGCCUCCAAUGCCCCACCUCCUCCAUUUACCAAUCAUUUAAUUCCUUCAGGCGAUUAAUUCACUGAUUAGGUUAAGGCUCUCACAACCAGAUCAUUUCUUCUCUGAACUUUCUUGCAUUGUCUUAUCUGUGAGAUUCUGGGGGACACCUCACAUCUACACCAUAACAUUCUAUCCCUGGACCCCAAAAGCUUACACUCAUCCGGUAAUGCAAAAUACAUUUAAUCCACUCCCAAGAGUCCCCAUAAUCUCAAGAGUUCUGAUAUUUGGUCAAAAUUCAUGUCCAAAGUCUUCUCUGAGACUCAAGGUGAUCUCACUUUGUGAGCGCCUAUAAAAUUAAAAGCGAUUUACAAAUAUUCAGUAUAUAAAGGCACUGAGUAAACAUUUUUCAUUUACAAAAAUCGGGCAUAGAAAGAAGGAAUGGGACCAAAGCAAGACCAAAAUUCUGGGCAAAUAUGUUCUGUAAUUCAGUAUCCAGCAUUUGGGGCACAUGGCAUGAUGUCCCCUCCAAAGGGCUUGUGUAGCUCCAACGCUGUGGCCUUGUUGAUCGCAGCCCAAGUGGCCUUUCUGUUGGCUCGUCUCUGCUUAAUUCCUGCAACUUUCCUAGAAAAUGUCCCCUGUUACUGUCAUUUCUUAAUCCCAGGGUUCUCCAUGGCAGCUUUGGCUUCCACUGAAGUCUCCAAGCCCUCUCAGGGGCUGCCCGCAGAGACUGACUAUGCUGCACUUUUCCUGGCCUCUCAGGCCUUCCUUUGAAAUCUUGGUGGAAACCUCCUGUCCCCUGAGCCCCAGCAUCCUGCAUCCCUGCAGAACCAGCACCAAGUGGUUGAUGCCAAGGUCUGCAGCCAUCUCAAGCAGGAGCCAAGCUUCCAAGUACCCUGGCUGAAGCACCUUCUGAGCAUCUGGGUGGCUGAGCAACUUGAAAAAACCCCCUUAUCCAAGAAGGAUGCCCCACUGGUCUCUAUUCAAGAGAAUUUUGACUUUUAUUCCCUGGAGCCUGAGAUGGGUGUGGUCUUGCCAGCUCUUGAGAUGCCCUCAAGCCAUCUUUCUCAUUGUCUCAGGCAAGGUCUUUAGCAUUUCUUUAGUGGCAGUGCCGGCUUUGUCUUUAAUGUUUGCAACUUCCUUAGCCCCAGUUUUGCUCCCAACUUUUAAGUCCAAGUUCCUAAAAUCUUUCUGCUCUGCUUUCUACUCCUAAUUAUCACAAUCAAUUUGGCUAAAAGCCACCAGUAAUAUCCAUGCCAUCACCUGAAUGCUAUGUUGCCUAGACAUUUCUUCCACCAGAAUAAGAAGUCCAUCCCUUUUAAAUUAGCCUCACCGAGAGUCUCAGGACAUGGGCAUAAUGCAGACAACUUCUCAGCCAGAACAUAACAGGAAUGGCCUCUAGUCCCGAUGUAUCAGGGGCCCACUUUGUGCUUUGAACACAGCCCUUGCUGCUCUGCCACUGCAAAUGAUUUUUAAAAUGGGACAUAUUUCUUUCUCUUCCUCUCUCCCUCCUUCUCCUUAAUCUCCCCCUGCCUAAUUUCAGAGAAAAUAGGAUUGCCUUACUUCCCCAUUCUAGGCAGAGUUGUCUGUCCCUGAGUAUACACCCACCAUAGGCCCCAGAUUUGGGGAUGGUCACAGCAGAUCUCAGAAACGACUAUCUUCCAAAUUAAUAAGUGAAUUGCAACUCCAACAGAGAACACCUUUGACUCUCCUCUUUAAAAGCCCCCUGUUCCUGUGGAUGGGCAGAAUCACAAACUCUGAAGCUGGAGUCCCCAGUGUUUCUCCUUUUCGAGCAAAGCAAUAAACCUUUUUCCUUUUUUUCUCAAAUCAUGUUCUUAUUAUUGGAUUGGCAUUGGGGGAAAAGGACUGAGAUUUCAGCAACAAAUUUGGCUUCCCAGAUGGGACCCAAGAACAGCCCCUGCUAUAGCUUCCUUGGGCAGGCCUGGCUCUGCAAGGAACCCCACUUCCAUGCUGAGGAUGCAAGGUUGCUGGCGAACUUGCUGAAAACCAACUGCAGGAGAGAUAGGAGUCAAGUGCGUUUGCCUCGAAUCAAACCAGAGGAGCUCUUCUGUGAGUAUAGGAGGAGACUGAGGGACCAUCUCAGCAGCUGCUGAAGCUCCUUUUGUUUCAGGGAACUCCCACCUUCUCUCCCUGAACCUGAAUGGUGCAGGUUGCUCCAUCUUGGUCCACUUCAAGAAAAAGGAAACAGAACUAAGUGAAGUUGCAACACUGUGAUUGUUUGGUAAGUCCCCAGUGGGCAGGCUGAGACCCUUUAUUACAGAUAUUGGAUUCCUCUUCAUGGGAACUACUGGUCCCUUUUGGUAUGGACAUCUAUGGCACUAUUGGUGUAGAAGUCACCGAUAAGUGGAACUCUGGAACCUCGGGAUAUUUACUGUCUUCUGAUCUGUUCUAGGGUCUGAUCUGCUUGUUGGCUGUGGGCUUGGGAAUUCCCUAUGGUCAUCUGUUUUGUUUGUAUCUGUUACUGCUCCUCUUAAGACAGGGCCAUAUUGAACCUAUGAUACAAAGAAAAGACCCUUGACUCCAAUUUUAAAUCAAAUCAUCAAAGCAAGUUUAUAUUGUGUACACAAGAGAGCUGAUCAGCGACCACCUCAUCCAAAUGCAGGGCCAGAGGACAGUGACUGGUCUAAGAGCAGGAAGGUUUUUAUAAUACAAAAAUUUAGAAAAGUGGGUGUCUUGGAAGCUUACAGUUGACAGGGUUCUGGCAAGCAUGAUACAAGGGCAGAAAGCAGGUUAAUGAUCUACAUGGCUUAAUAGCUCAAGGUAGGAAGUAAACUGAGAUUCCAAUAUCAAAGUUAAUGAGGAGAAGCUGAGAUUUCAGGGAGGGUUGUUAACUGGUCAGGGAAAGUCAGGCACAGGUAAGUUCAAAGUAUGGGCAGGAGUUCCAAGCAAGUUUAAAACAUCAAAGUGUGGUCAGGCCAAAUAGAAAUCUUAGGACUUUACAUUAAAACAGAAAUGGUGUUUUGAUGACCUUGUGACGAGAUGGCUCCCAAUCUUAAGAUGGAAUUAUGCUGGGUUCUUCAGCCAAUACUGCAUCGAUCCUAUAGGUAUCUCUAGGGAAACAUAUUGAAGAAAUUUGUACAUGCAUGUUUGUCUGUUUUAAAGGUUCCUGUCUCUCAUCCCUGGUUUUGGUGAUCCUGUCUUCAUUUUUUUUUUUUUUUGUAUUUGUUAUUGGCCCUUUAAGACGUGGGCCUUCAUGCAUUGAUCUUACUAGUAGUCUUUGGAGCCCAGAGAGCUUGGCUGAAUGUGCCAUGCAUAGGUAUAAACCUGUCUAAGAGAAGGACAGUUUACUGUAACGCAAUCUUACCUUUGAAUGGUUUUUCUGGAUUAUUAUACAAUUUAGAAUUUGAAGUAGGCCUGUCAGGGCUUAAGUAUAUGAAGGAUCCUGUAUGGACGGGCACUUAGGAAGUUGCAAGAUCAGGGUUCUCAACCAUCAGGAAGUAAGCGGAAGGUGCCAAAGGCGUUGCUGCUGGUGUGCAAGGAGACACCAGAGGAAAGGGUCAAAAGAUUUCAGUCUUUAAACCCAGAGCUGGCACUCCUAGCACUGUUCCUCGUCCUGGCCCCUGUCAGCUGCAGGUCAUCUCACUGUGAGUCAAGGACACCAGCCCUAAACCUGGGGGAAAAUCACAGAAAACUGCCUGGGCUCUAGAACAAUAGCCUAAGAGAGCCUGGCCUCUGUCCUGCCUUUCUGCCCCUUUUGUUCUGGUGUGUUGGGGGUGGAGGUGGUUGGCUACAAAGGAUGUGAUAGUAGGUCCCAUCUCUGUCAGUUUAUGACCUGGGGACAGGACUAGUCUCCACUGUUAAGAUCUGACAGGACACUCCAUUUGGCCAGGGGAUAUUCAUCACUGGGACAAGUGGUUCUUGCUACAACACUAUCCCAUAAACUAAAAGCCUGGGAAGACUGACAGGACAAAUAACUGCAUCCAGAAAAGAAAAAGACAGAAACUAAGGACAACCCGUGUUUCAUAGGCAGCCUCUGCAAAGGGAUCUUCAAGAACUCCUAAAGACAAAAAUGGAAAGGGCUUCUUGCAUUGCAUAUCAGUCUGCUAGUAUAAGAAAAGGCCCAAAAUGAGCCUCUGGGUACAAGUGACAGUGGGGAACUCACUUAAAGUUGAUGGCAUUGUGAUAGUGUUCAUGGAGACAGGUGAGGCUCAAAAAUGCCAUUGAAAGCAACACAGGAGAAAAAAGAUUAAAUCACAGUUUUUGUAUAUGCUGGAUUGUCCAACCCUCUCCUGGGAUGAAAUUCAUUGUGUAAAUUAAAUGCACAGAUAACAUUCAUAGGGAUUGUUUCAGAAUAUGAAUUUUAAAAAGGUUUCAAAACUAGAAAAGAUAAAAGAACUUUACAGGUAUAGAAAUAUAUUUUAAUAUGGAAAAUUAGAAGGUAAAAGAAAUGUUUCUGAAUGAGAAAGUGUUUUGUCUGGUAAAGCAAUAUUAUUGUGCCAAUGUCCAAGAUGAAUGAGGACAAAACUCAGGAGGUAAAGUUGUGAAUGUCUAAGUAAGUUGCACAAAAGUUGGGGAAGGUAAAUCUCAAAUAUUUUUUGUGUGUGAUUAAAUUGGAUAUAAUUUAUCUACCAAGAUAAUUUUCUUCAUUUGUUGGGCUUUAUUACUUGUGGAAAAUAAGUCUUAAAGUUUUAGGGUUUGCAUCUGUUUGAAAGUCUGAAAAGAUUACUUUGUAACUGAUUAAACAAACAACUGUUAUUUAUUUAUUUAUUUUUUUAAAAAAAUUUUUAUUGUUGGUUGUUCAAAACAUUACAUAGUUCUUGACAUAUCAUAUUUCACACUUUGAUUCAAGUGGGUUAUGAACUCCCAUUUUUACCCCAUAUACAGAUUGCAGAAUCACAUCAGUUACACAUCCAUUGAUUUACAUAUUGC
Molecule: long non-coding RNA, 4896 nt
Filed under: Marmota monax (woodchuck)
Lineage: Eukaryota; Metazoa; Chordata; Mammalia; Rodentia; Sciuridae
Source: RNAcentral